GAUGAACGCUGGCGGCGUGCCUAAUACAUGCAAGUCGAGCGAACAGACGAGGAGCUUGCUCCUCUGACGUUAGCGGCGGACGGGUGAGUAACACGUGGAUAACCUACCUAUAAGGCUGGGAUAACUUCGGGAAACCGGAGCUAAUACCGGAUAAUAUAUUGAACCGCAUGGUUCAAUAGUGAAAGACGGUUUUGCUGUCACUUAUAGAUGGAUCCGCGCCGCAUUAGCUAGUUGGUAAGGUAACGGCUUACCAAGGCAACGAUGCGUAGCCGACCUGAGAGGGUGAUCGGCCACACUGGAACUGAGACACGGUCCAGACUCCUACGGGAGGCAGCAGUAGGGAAUCUUCCGCAAUGGGCGAAAGCUUGACGGAGCAACGCCGCGUGAGUGAUGAAGGUCUUCGGAUCGUAAAACUCUGUUAUUAGGGAAGAACAAAUGUGUAAGUAACUAUGCACGUCUUGACGGUACCUAAUCAGAAAGCCACGGCUAACUACG
Molecule: ribosomal RNA, 495 nt
Filed under: uncultured bacterium
Lineage: Bacteria
Description: partial 16S ribosomal RNA
Rfam family: Bacterial small subunit ribosomal RNA
Source: RNAcentral